UAGUUAAGGUGUAGGUAGAGAUGUGGUUAUAUAGUUAAGGUGUAGGUAGAGAUGUGGUUAUAUAGUUAAGUUGUAGGUAGAGAUGUGGUUAUAUAGUUAAGGUGUAGGUGGUGAUGUGGUUAUAUAGUUAAGGUGUAGGUAGAGAUGUGGUUAUAUAGUUAAGGUGUAGGUAGAGAUGUGGUUAUAUAGUUAUAUAGUUAAGGUGUAGGUAGAGAUGUGGUUAUAUAGUUAAGGUGUAGGUAGAGAUGUGGUUAUAUAGUUAAGGUGUAGGUAGAGAUGUGGUUAUAUAGUUAAGGUGUAGGUAGAGAUGUGGUUAUAUAGUUAUAUAGUUAAGGUGUAGGUAGAGAUGUGGUUAUAUAGUUAAGGUGUAGGUAGAGAUGUGGUUAUAUAGUUAAGUUGUAGGUAGAGAUGUGGUUAUAUAGUUAAGGUGUAGGUGGUGAUGUGGUUAUAUAGUUAAGGUGUAGGUAGAGAUGUGGUUAUAUAGUUAAGUUGUAGGUAGAGAUGUGGUUAUAUAGUUAAGGUGUAGGUGGUGAUGUGGUUAUAUAGUUAAGGUGUAGGUAGAGAUGUGGUUAUAUAGUUAAGUUGUAGGUAGAGAUGUGGUUAUAUAGUUAAGGUGUAGGUGGUGAUGUGGUUAUAUAGUUAAGGUGUAGGUAGAGAUGUGGUUAUAUAGUUAAGUUGUAGGUAGAGAUGUGGUUAUAUAGUUAAGGUGUAGGUGGUGAUGUGGUUAUAUAGUUAAGGUGUAGGUAGAGAUGUGGUUAUAUAGUUAAGUUGUAGGUAGAGAUGUGGUUAUAUAGUUAAGGUGUAGGUGGUGAUGUGGUUAUAUAGUUAAGGUGUAGGUAGAGAUGUGGUUAUAUAGUUAAGUUGUAGGUAGAGAUGUGGUUAUAUAGUUAAGGUGUAGGUGGUGAUGUGGUUAUAUAGUUAAGGUGUAGGUAGAGAUGUGGUUAUAUAGUUAAGUUGUAGGUAGAGAUGUGGUUAUAUAGUUAAGGUGUAGGUGGUGAUGUGGUUAUAUAGUUAAGGUGUAGGUAGAGAUGUGGUUAUAUAGUUAAGUUGUAGGUAGAGAUGUGGUUAUAUAGUUAAGGUGUAGGUGGUGAUGUGGUUAUAUAGUUAAGGUGUAGGUAGAGAUGUGGUUAUAUAGUUAAGUUGUAGGUAGAGAUGUGGUUAUAUAGUUAAGGUGUAGGUGGUGAUGUGGUUAUAUAGUUAAGGUGUAGGUAGAGACGUGGUUAUAUGGUUACGGUGUAGGUAGAGAUGUGGUUAUAUAGUUAAGGUGUAGGUAGAGAUGUGGUUAUAUAGUGAAGGUGUAGGUAGAGAUGUGGUUAUAUAGUUAAGGUGUAGGUAGAGAUGUGGUUAUAUAGUUAAGGUGUAGGUAGAGAUGUGGUUAUAUAGUUAAGGUGUAGGUAGAGAUGUGGUUAUAUAGUUAAGGUGUAGGUAGAGAUGUGGUUAUAUAGUUAAGGUGUAGGUAGAGAUGUGGUUAUAUAGUUAAGGUGUAGGUAGAGACGUGGUUAUAUAGUUAAGGUGUAGGUAGAGAUGUGGUUAUAUAGUUAUAUAGUUAAGGUGUAGGUAGAGAUGUGGUUAUAUAGUUAAGGUGUAGGUAGAGAUGUGGUUAUAUAGUUAAGGUGUAUGUAGAGAUGUGGUUAUAUAGUUAAGGUAUAUGUUGAGAUGUGGUUAUAUAGUUAUAUAGUUAAGGUGUAGGUAGAGAUGUGGUUAUAUAGUUAAGGUGUAGGUAGAGAUGUGGUUAUAUAGUUAAGGUGUAGGUAGAGAUGUGGUUAUAUAGUUAAGGUGUAGGUAGAGAUGUGGUUAUAUAGUUAAGGUGUAGGUAGAGAUGUGGUUAUAUAGUUAAGGUGUAGGUAGAGACGUGGUUAUAUAGUUAAGGUGUAGGUAGAGAUGUGGUUAUAUAGUUAUAUAGUUAAGGUGUAGGUAGAGAUGUGGUUAUAUAGUUAAGGUGUAUGUAGAGAUGUUGUUAUAUAGUUAUAUAGUUAAGGUGUAGGUAGAGACGUGGUUAUAUAGUUAUAUAGUUAAGGUGUAUGUAGAGAUGUGGUUAUAUAGUUAUAUAGUUAUGGUGUAUGUAGAGAUGUGGUUAUAUAGUUAUAUAGUUAAGGUGUAGGUAGAGAUGUGGUUAUAUAGUUAAGGUGUAGGUAGAGAUGUGGUUAUAUGGUUACGGUGUAGGUAGAGAUGUGGUUAUAUAGUCAAG
Molecule: long non-coding RNA, 2188 nt
Organism: Oncorhynchus keta (chum salmon)
Lineage: Eukaryota; Metazoa; Chordata; Actinopteri; Salmoniformes; Salmonidae
Exons: 7
Source: RefSeq, a predicted model, not a curated record